GACUCCAGCUGGCACCUUGAGAGGCAGAAGAACCACCUGGCCAACCCACGGAAAUGCAGGAAAUAAGAAAUUAUGUUUGUUUUAGGCCGUCAAGUUUCUAGGUAGUCUGCUGUGCAGUGAGACACAAUGCUUAUAGACCUUGAAGCUUAAAUUUCAUCAGCUUCAUGGGAAAUCUAGCCCUGGGCGAAGAGCCUGGGGAUGGAGGCAGUGACUCAUGCACACGACAAAUGAUAAAGAACCGUGUGCUGACUCUCCAUGCGGGUGAUUCUCCCAGUCCAGUCCCCUACAGGCCGCCCCCUCCCUUCUGUGUUUUGCUUUGUAUCAGGGUUGCUGACUCUACCGAUGAAACGCAUCACUUUCUCCUUCGCUGGUUGGUUCCAGGUGUGUUUGUCAAACGCCUCGUCAAGAAGGUUUGCCGAGGAAAUGCCAAGGCUGUCAGCAUGGUGUGGACAUCUUCACCUUGCCUGCCUUCACCUCACCCAGCCCUUCACUGCCAAGGGCAGAGGACAGGCUUUGAGUCCCCCACCACACUUUAGCUGGAUCCAAAGAAAAGGGCUUGGUGAACAGAGGACCACUGGCCAUGCGAAGCUAAGGUGUGGGAUGAAUAGAUAGAUUCACAGAGCUGCGUCUCUGCUCCUCUGUGGUUCUCACUGUCAGCAAAAAACUCAAAGAGACCGCGUGUUAGAGAACCACCCAGGAGAGGCAGGCUUCCAGAACCCUGGAGCCUUGUGGUUUUUACUGAAUUCCUGCCUCUAUUUAAGAACUAUUUGCACAUUUCAAUAUCUUUCCCUCUAUGUUCAUUUCCCCUUUUAUAAAAAUUCACACAUGAACCCUGUGUUGAGCUGCUUCUUAUGAAUCUUGUAACCUAACCACAGACCAGUGAGUCACUCUAGGGUCCUGGACCUCAGUUUUCACAUCCAUGAAAUGGGAAAAUAUCUCCUCCUGAGACUUUCUGAAAGGCUUCUAUAAGAAGGUACAAAACUGAUGGGUGAUCAUAGAGCCUUCUAGAGACUUGCAAUUGUGGAUAGCAGGGAAUGUCUUGGUACUCAUGAAUUUUUAACACACUAUUUGUUAAAGUCCAUUAGGGAAAGGGGUGCCACAAAAUGUGUUUCUGACUCUAAGAUCAAGAGGAGAAUGCAAGGUCACUGUCCUUUGAACCUCAACCUUCAGCCCCUAGUUAUACAUGAUGGGAUAAUCCAGGUAAUCCCAGUGUCCUCCAUGGGAGGGAAAGCUCUCCAGCAACCAGACAGAAUUAAAACUGAAAGCAGCAUUUAUUCAUCUCUCUCUACAGAUGCCCAAAGAGAUUGAUUGAGAAUAUCAACCAGGCUUCUUAAAAUCCACCUUCCCCUGCCUCCACUUUCUUUCUCAAACACCCUACACAGCUCCCUGGAAGCUUCUUUCUUUCCUAGCCCCGGGCUCAGCUUCCCCAGCAAACUGCUCCCAUCCUGAAGUGGGCUGUUCUUGCUCCUUCGAUGGGUCUAGGCUUUUUUCAUCCCUCCUCUGAGUUUACACCUCAUCACCCCCACUCCGGUUCUA
RNAcentral lists this long non-coding RNA (1536 nucleotides) under Bos indicus x Bos taurus (hybrid cattle). RNAcentral describes it as "lncRNA (ENSBIXG00005008115.1)". Lineage: Eukaryota; Metazoa; Chordata; Mammalia; Artiodactyla; Bovidae. The record is from RNAcentral.